AUAUAAGGAAGAAAUCAUUUACUUCAGGGUGGUAAGGCACUAGAACAAGUUGCCCAGAGAAGCUAUGGAUGCCCCAUCCCUGUCAGUGUUCAAGUUUAGAUUGGAAGGGGCUCUGAGCAACCUGAUCUAGUGAAAGAUGUCCCUGGCCAUUGCAAGGAGUUUGGAACUAGAUGAUCUUUAAGGUCCCUUCCAAUACAAACUGCUCUAUGACGUGCUUAUUUUGUCAUCCUUAAGCACCAGCUUUGCCAUGACCUCCAGCUCUGCCCUCCUGAACUCCUCAGCAUCUCACAGGAAAUGGAGUUCCAGUUGCUGCCUUACUUACAAAAGCCUCAUGAUAAGAGCCUCUUCUGUAGAUGACCUAAAGGAUUUUCGACUGCUGUAGCAACCAAUUUCUUCUACAAAAGAACUGCCUUUUUCACACAGUGCUUUCUGAGUAACAAUCCUGCUGAAAAGCUGAAGUGAUCAUAAAAUGGGUUAUAAGUUUCAAGCACUGGAAUGCCUAAAAUGUUUUUGGCAGAUUGAAAGGUAACAUUGCCAUGAGAGAAAGAAUAUGAAAUGGAAGUGUAGAGGUAGCCACUGGAAGUGGACCCUGAUGUUCUGAGGGACAGCCACCUUGCAGACACACACAGCUUCAGGAAGCACCAUUGUUCAUUUUAUUUUUCUUUACAGACUAAAUGCCAUCUGGAAAAAAGUAAAAACUAACUCUGAGAAUCAGGAAGACACAGCAUCAGCUGAGCCACAGAGCUAGAGAAAGAAGAUCUUGUCAUCUUCAGAGACUCCUGAGUCAGCUUCCAUUACACAAUUCAUUAAAAUUACACUGUUAUAGCAGUGGAUCAUGGAGUACCAACACAUCUCCAUGACAUUUUUCUCCGAGUAGGGUUUUACUCAUUUACACUCACUCUCCUUAUGUCCUUCCCACCCCAGGGAGUGCUGCUUCCACCUUGACAGGGGAAAAAGCCUGAAAACUAAAGACACUUCAAAUUAGUGGAAAUGUAUAAGACAUUACAAAUUGGUUACAGUCCUUUCACCCUUCUCUCUCAGCAGUUUAAAUUGCCUUUUACCUCCUAUGAACACUGGUGCAUGUAAAACUGCCACCUUCAAAACAGCAUUCCUUUUAAGGAGGCGAUGCAAAUGCCUUUCCCUCAUACUAUGUACCUGUAGCUGACAGAAGCCUCCAAGGGUCAACUUACAAAACCAUAAAAAUAUCAUGUUUGCCUCUCAGCUCUUGACAUCACUUUUGCCAUUUUUCUAUCAAAAUACAGCAUUUUGGUAUAAUUCAGAGAAACUACAAGCCACUCUAUUGACAAUGCAACCUACAUUUUAGUGUUUUAAAGAACUACUUCUCUGCCAUCCUGAAGUUAUUUAGGGAGCAGAUAAAAGCCAGUUAAUUCCUGUGAUUCGUACAGCCAGCACUGGCUCAGGAUAAAAGGGAAUGCUGAUGCCACCACUGGGAAAAGCCACAUUGUGAAAGCCUUCCCAAAGCAUCACAGGCCCACAACCAUCAUGUCUUCUCAGAAAUGGCUAUGUUUUGCCCUUACAAUAGCUCCAUUACAAUACAUUAGCUGAUGUGUAUAUGCUGAAUUAGUCAGCAACUGACUGGCAGGAUAAAGGAGUUGUAAAUUUCCCAGUGAGGGCAGACAGACACUUCUGGAAGGACAGAGUUUGUGAGUUCUGUGCAUGCAGUGGUGAAGGCAUCUCUGUCAUCUUCCUACUUCACAGCCACUCCAUGCUGGCAGCCCUAGGUGCAUGGCACAAUCCUCUCCUGUCAGCCUAUACUGUUCUGCAGAGUCUGGCAUUUCCCAAACUGCUCCUGAAACUGUCUCUGGCUUGUGUUUCUCCCCGACUUCUACUUUCUGCAGAUUAAAUUUCAUAGUGAAUACACCUGUGUAAGUAUAGCUGUCCUGUUGUAAUGUCUUCAAGGCAUCCACAGAACAUUCAAAUACAAACAGCAAAAUGUAAAGGGCUGGCUUGCCCAACAUUGUCUUGGAGGAUUUGGAAAUGUCACUUCAAAAGAGACAUAGAGUGCAGCUGGGAAGGAGAAACCUUACAAUUGCAGUAGUUUGACACCUACUCUCAAACCCUCCCUACCACAAACACAGGACAGGAGAGUUUUAGCUACCUCCUGCUACAUAUUCCAACCAGAUGUAAUCCUUUUAUGCAUGAGGCUUGAAUAAACAGUACAAAGAAGGAUAAACAUCUAUUGCAGAGCAUGCAAUAUAAAGGUAAUUCAUCACAUGGAAGCAUUAAUUCAUAAUAAACUCAAAUCUGGGUGUUCGUUUGAAUGGCUUUACAUGGAAACAACUACUCUGAAACAUUCACAUCAGUGCAUCUGGCUUUAGAGCAAAUCUUCCCUUUGGACAAGCCAACGCUUUUGUUUAGUUGGAUGAGAAGCAAUAAGCUUGUCAGAACAAGCUAAUGAGAGUAACAUUUGCUGGUUCACAUCUGAAGAACCAAUCAGUACAGUUACUUGUGUUUUGGGCACAGCUGUUCCACAUCUCCAUUCAUACCCUCGCAUUCCAUAAAGCAACUUGUUAAGGAACAGCUGACCUGAAAUUCAUCACGGCUGACUUCUUUUUCUAGAGAACAGAGUGAGAUGAUGACACAACAUUUCAAACAGAUGACACAUCAAGCCUUGAAAUUUCAAAAAAGGGCCUACACUUGCUGACUCUGAGAGCUAUUCAGCAUGGUUAACACAAAAAGAAAAUUAAGUUUAUACAACAAAUAAGGAUCUCAGCACUCAGAACAUCUGAACUGUCAAGGCCAAACCUUUCUAAACCAUAUCAGUCAACUUUCUGCUAAGAAUAAGCAAGGAUAUGACACUGCAUGCUUUGAGAGAUAUGAUGGAUUUAAAAGAGAACAAUGUCCAUAAUUGUUAUUGAUUUUAACAAUAACAAGUAAUAUCUCUGUACAGCUUUCAGCUCUUACAGGCCUUUGGAAAGGUGGGCGGGCAUUUCUGAAAUGUUACUGAAGAUUGGUAAUUAAAAUCUGGAGAAAUUGGAAUUAGCCUUCAAUAUAUUAGCUCAAGAACAAGCAGCACCACAACAGCCCAGAAAAGAAGAUAAAUGAGUUAAUAUUAAACGUGUGCUCUCACAGAUUCAGAGCUAAUUUGAAGUAUGAUCCAGUUAUCUCUGUACUACAUGGCAGAAACACCUCAAAAGAUAGAAGAUACAUAUCUAACAACACCCCUCAAGACAGAGAGGAACUGUCUUCUAAUAUCCUUACUCUGAGCUCCCAGAAUGGGCUAGCUGAUCAGAUGUAACUAAUUAAAUGCCCUGACAGAAAGCUUAUCUCCAGUGAUGGCACUUGUAAAACUCUUACAGAUCACUUGGUCCAACAUUUUGUCCCUUUGUUCACCAUUAUGUGUUUAAAACCUAAAACACUAGCAGUUCAUCAAUCAGGGCCUGACACAAAGUGGGUACAGCCUCCAGAUUCAUAUACUGAACUGGGAGUGUAAUGGAGUACCUUCAAAUUAAAAUGUGUGCAUGACUGUUUUUUUUAGAAAAAGCAGUUUUCAAGGUUCACAGUUGCUAAGCAGUAUCAUAGUUAAUCGCUUAAUAUGCUUGGUUUUUUCUCUGUGAUGUUGAUGAAGAAAGAAUAACUUUAAUAGUAAGUCCACCAAAAUUAAUUUAUCCAGUAUAAGAAACUGUAUAAACUACAUCCAGAAACAUUUGAAAAGUGGCAUUUUCAGCUGCUGUGAGAUGAUGAUGAUGACAGGCACUGUCACUGAGCUCCCUUUUACACUUGCAUUUAGCUCUGAGGAUGCAGAGUAGGAAUAGUGGUUCCCUGACAUACACAGAGUCAAAUGGGAGUGACAGAAUCCUCAUUCAUUUCACAAUGAUGGUGAGGAGGGUCAAUAUUGAUUAAAUUCAUGUUAGCACUUAAAAUGCAACAUGCUGCCUAAAAUCCUGGAGGGUUCCUUCUCUCCAGUCUUAUGGUAAUACACAAUUAAACCAUAAAUUCUACUGCAGAAUUGAAAGAAUCCUCUAGAUCCUCUUGAUGAAAACUUGCUGUGACAUUAACUUACCAGAGUUAUUUCAGAGAUGUUUUUGAGUCAUUUCUCUUAAACAGAAAAUAGAGCCAACAAAAAAUAAAAGCCCUUAAUGAAUGUCACCUUUUUUCAUUUCUCGCUUUGCAAUUUAAGUAUUUUAGUGAAUUCCAGAGGAUAUAAAAUACUGAUUUACUGCUGUUACAGUUGCAAGGAAUGGACUAAUUUAGCAACAUAGAAGUCAGGUUUCUACUUAAAAAUACUUUUCUGCUCUUCUUCUUUAGUCAAUAAAGCUUUCUGCAACAGGCUAGUUUUUCCAAAACAAGUGUUUCAGAUGGAUUACCCUCUUCAGAUGCCAAAUUCUCCUGGAUGGCUGCCUGGAUAACUAUUUUAAUUAAAGUGUGAACAAAGUACCACUACCAUGCCACUACUCACUUUUUGAUUUAUGGAGUAAGCAGUACACUUGUGUGUCACUUAAAAUUUCAGUAAAAUACCUUGCUAAAUAAAAACACAGCUUAUGCAAGUUGGGAUCCUUGUAGACUAAUGACUACUCGGUGCAAUCUAAGAAAAGCAAGUCAUCCAUAUUAUAGGAGUUGCCUAUGAACAGCCAAUAAGGUAAAUUACUUGUUAGAUGUUUUUCUUUGUUUCAAAAAAAGGGUUGGUUAAGCUGAUUCUUAAACAGAUAAAAAUGUAACAUCAACCAAUGAUAAUAAAAUACAUGAACUUCUGAGCAACCAAUUAUCUAUACUGUACAUUAAUAUACUUUCUAAUACGUCAGUGUUGAAUUGUUGCUCACCUUCAUAUAAGGAAAAAAUUGCUCCAUUGUGCCAUGACUUUAAUGUUAUCUCAAAAUACUUAUUGUUAAGUAUGUGUGAAAAGCUAUAACUCACAGAAUCUGUAUCAGCAGCAAAAUAAACCCAACAUAAAUAGCUCCUGAUAAAUUUUGAACUUACUGCACUUCAAAUACAUCCUUUGUAUUCUGUUUGCUUGCUACUUGCCUUGACUUGAAGCCUACAUUUAUAAAAGUGAUCUUGUUUCUUCCUCUUUUUUGAAGUUCUGUAACUGUCUGUCUUGAAUGGAAUUCAUCUUGACCACAGCCUCAAGUGACUUUCAUAAAACUGACCAUUCUUUGCAAGGGAAACCAUAAAUAUAACUUCUGAGUUUGUGCUGGAAAUAGCUCAGGAGAACAAAAUAUGGUGCAAAAGCCAUUGAACAGCACCCAGAAAUAAUGAGUCCAAAUGGAUUUUGUCUUCAAACCAUACUUGAUUCAUAUUUCUGCAACCCUGGCUUUCAAAGGACAGCCUGAACACUAAUUAAGUGUUGCUGGUAAAGCAGAGCUGAAAUAAUUCAAUGGAUCAGACCGACCUACCGGGGAUAUUUAUAAUGAAUAUCGCUGAUAAUCUCCAGACCUAAGACUUCCUGGGAUACAAGAGUGUCCCUCAUUCUUAAAAAACAAACCAAAAUCUCUCACCAGGUUCCUGCUCAGUACGCCCUGGAGUCAGCAGAAGUGGCUGUAAGAGUUUUCUACUUAAGGAAGAUUAUUUUCAGUAAUGAAUGUUUAA
This is a long non-coding RNA of Passer domesticus (house sparrow), 5547 nucleotides long. RefSeq lists it as uncharacterized. The transcript is spliced from 3 exons. Lineage: Eukaryota; Metazoa; Chordata; Aves; Passeriformes; Passeridae. The record is from RefSeq and is a predicted model, not a curated record.